RNAcentral lists this ribosomal RNA (253 nucleotides) under uncultured bacterium. RNAcentral's name for it is "partial 16S ribosomal RNA". It matches the Rfam family "Bacterial small subunit ribosomal RNA", at positions 524 to 776 of the family's 1533-position model. The record is from RNAcentral.
UACGUAGGGUGCGAGCGUUAAUCGGAAUUACUGGGCGUAAAGCGUGCGCAGGCGGUUUUGUAAGUCAGAUGUGAAAGCCCCGGGCUCAACCUGGGAAUUGCAUUUGAAACUGCAAGGCUAGAGUGUGUCAGAGGGGGGUAGAAUUCCACGUGUAGCAGUGAAAUGCGUAGAGAUGUGGAGGAAUACCGAUGGCGAAGGCAGCCCCCUGGGAUAACACUGACGCUCAUGCACGAAAGCGUGGGGAGCAAACAGG